This 341-nucleotide unclassified non-coding RNA is filed under the name soil metagenome. RNAcentral describes it as "partial contains 5.8S ribosomal RNA, internal transcribed spacer 2, and large subunit ribosomal RNA". The stretch from base 1 to 120 matches the Rfam family "5.8S ribosomal RNA", at positions 35 to 154 of the family's 154-position model. The record is from RNAcentral.
GAUGAAGAACGCAGCGAAAUGCGAUAAGUAGUGUGAAUUGCAGAAUUCAGUGAAUCAUCGAAUCUUUGAACGCACAUUGCGCCCUUUGGUAUUCCAAAGGGCAUGCCUGUUCGAGCGUCAUUUGUACCCUCAAGCUUUGCUUGGUGUUGGGCGUCUUGUCUCUAGCUUUGCUGGAGACUCGCCUUAAAGUAAUUGGCAGCCGGCCUACUGGUUUCGGAGCGCAGCACAAGUCGCACUCUCUAUCAGCAAAGGUCUAGCAUCCAUUAAGCCUUUUUUUCAACUUUUGACCUCGGAUCAGGAAGGGAUACCCGCUGAACUUAAGCAUAUCAAUAAGCGGAGGA